Molecule: non-coding RNA, 447 nt
Organism: Paramuricea clavata
Lineage: Eukaryota; Metazoa; Cnidaria; Anthozoa; Malacalcyonacea; Plexauridae
Source: the annotation of a GenBank genome assembly
CCGUCUUCCAUUUUUGCCACGCGUGUUCUCGUUUCUGCUUCAUUCGUUUGUGUAACUUCACGACUUCUUCUCCAUCAUCCGUGUCUGAUUCGUCUAUGGUAUGCACGUUUUGUCCCCACAGAAUUGUAUUUGGUGUGAGCACUUGUUCCUCUUCUUGCUCGCUUUCGACGUACGUCAGUGGCCUAUUGUUUACAUUUUACUCAAUAUCAAUUACGAUAGCUUGUAACUGGUCGAAACAUAAUGUCGAUCUUCCCAGAACUUUAUACAGGGCUUUUUUAAUGUCCUUAAGUAAGCGUUCGUACAUUCCACCCCACCAAGGGGACUUGGAUAGAUUGAAUCUCCACCGAAUCUCUUGUCUUGCCAAAUAAUCUUGCAGUCGUUCACUUUUACGUAUCUUUCUGAUCCAUAACGCUGUCGCUUUAAACGCUCCUCCGUUAUCCGACACAA